Molecule: non-coding RNA, 2072 nt
Organism: Peromyscus maniculatus bairdii (prairie deer mouse)
Lineage: Eukaryota; Metazoa; Chordata; Mammalia; Rodentia; Cricetidae
Source: RefSeq, a predicted model, not a curated record
UGUUCGACUAUAGUCAUCAUCUCAUUAUGUACAUGAAGAGACAUAUAUUAACAGAGGGAGCAAAGGGGGAGCCGGGAGGCUAACUGUAGAUCUUCACCUCUCCUCCGCACCUCCCAACCCAGUCCCCCAGUUUUAUCCCCCGCUCUGCAGCAGGACACCCACUGCCGUCUCCCCUUCUUCACUGACCCUCAUUUCCGGCAGAUCUCGCAAACCUCAGUCAACCUUUCCCGCUCAUCAAGUCAUCCCAGCCUCCAGCCCCAGCAGGCGUUCCCUGGGAACUCACCGACCACUUGACCACUCGGGCCAGGGAAGCAGGAGGGAUAGCAGCAGGUCCUCCAAAUUCAAUGCCCCUUUGUACCCCCAGCUCUGCAGCAGACCACUUGCUGCAGCUUGGCCUGCCUCCCUGCCUCCAUCUCCAGUGAAAGCAGGGUUCUUCCCCUCAGUCAUUGCUUUAUUCCAGGCCCCACCUCCAGCAGGCACUCCCUGGGAACCCCAAGGCCACACCAGCCAGGCAAGCAGGGAGCCUUGCUGUAGAUCUCUACCUCUCUCUCCUCCAAAUCUGAUUCCAUAGUUUCACCCCAUCUCUGUUCAGACCUGCUUCUGUGCACCAACCCUCCCCCACCCCCGUGCUGUGCCCCCAUCUCCAGCUGAUCACACGGAUCUCCUCCAACCUACCUCCUCUAUCAUCCUGUUAUCCCAGCCACCAGCUCCAGCGGGCAUUCCCUGGGAGCCCACUGGCCAAGCCUGUCGGAGAAGCAUCCAGGUCAGCUAAGCAGGUUUGGACACUAGCAACGAGACAAUGGGCCGAAGGCCGACAGUCACAGUAAGGAAUGGACAUUUGAGCUUUGGUGUCUUUCUCGUAUGUCCCAUCAGGAAAUGGCUGGGCCAGGCACACGGGUAUGAGCUGAUGCUUUCUUCAGUUCUUGAUGUAAGCCUGGCAGAAGAGCUCGGAGGGCCCACAGGGCCUUGAGAAUCAACCCAGCUUGCGAGUUAGAAUUCUCACUCCGUAUUUACAAUAUGUAUCUCUAUUAUUUUGAGGCACAGAUAACUUACGUAUCUACUUUACAUAUCUCUGAAGGCUUGGCAUCUCUUGAUCAAGCAGGUUCAGGAUAGAGCUGGUGUCAUGGCGCACAUGCCGUAGCAGGGGAAAGGAAGAAAAGAUGUUCAAGACAACCAUCUCUUUUCUCCUUCUUUUUUCUUCCCUUUAAUAUCAUCUCCUUCAGCUUUUCCUCAGCUGGUCAUGGCGGUCCACAUCUGUAAUCUGAGAACUCGGGGGAAGAGGCAGAAGUAUCAGCAGUUCAAGCCAUCUGCCUUCAUGCAGCUGUAAGAGCCAAGCAUGGUGACAUGCACCCAUAGCCCUGACUACUCAGGAAGCUGAGGUGGGAGGAUGACUGGAGAUCGGGAGUUCGAGGUCAGCCUGGGCAACACAGUGAGACCAUGCCAUAGGAAGAAGGAAGUACAUGACACAGUAAUCCCAUGUAACUUAUUUUAAGUCCCCUUACCAUCCUCAAAGUUUUGUAAGAUUUGUCUUUCUUCCUCUUGGCCACCUGGCUUCCACUUCUUUCACUCUAUUACAGCGUGCUCUUCUCAAGGCCACCAAUGCCCCUGUUGCCUUACCAGAGCCAUUUUUUCUUGGUCUUGGAGCAUCUGAAUUGUCAGCCAUGACCUUGGAAACUCUCUGUUUCUGACUUGGUGCCAUCACACCAUCUGGCUUUCUCAAGCUACCGUAACCGGAGGUCAGAAGAGAGAGGUGGAUGGGACAGUGAGGUUGGUUCCUUGACUUGUAAAAGCAUCACCUGAGUCCUGCCUUCAUCUUCCGGUGCUGCUCUCCCCAAGUGCAUGCCUCUGUACCAAUUUUCUCUUUUUAUGGGGACUACAGGAAGAGUGGAGUGCCGCUUACCCAAUGGCUUCAUCCUCGUUGAUUGACAUCUGUGUUAUCCCUAUUUCCAAAUACGUCCAUGUGUGAUGUUCUGAAGGGUCAUCGACCAACCUUCAAGACUUAGCUUUCCCUCAGUUGUGUCCUUGGCCUCUGAUGAGAAGAUCCGCUGGGCGGUGGUGGCGCACGCCUUUAA